Non-coding RNA from Candidatus Kaiserbacteria bacterium, 72 nucleotides. Lineage: Bacteria; Candidatus Kaiseribacteriota. The record is from Rfam.
GGCCCGGUGGUGAAGGGGUAACACGAUGAUCUGCAAAAUCAUUAUGCGCGGGUUCGAGUCCCGCCCGGGCCU